CGAAGACAACUAGGAUGUUGGCUCAGAAGCAGCCAUACAUUCAAAGAGUGCGUAACAGCUCACUAGUCGAGAGUUCCUGCGCCGAAAAUGUCCGGGGCUGAAACACGACACCGAAGCCGUGGACUCGCAAUGCGAGUGGUAGAGGAGCAUUCUUAAAACCGACGAAGCUGUACCGGAAGGAGCAGUGGAGGGAUAAGAAGAGAGAAUGCCGGAAUGAGUAGCGAGAGAAAGGUGGGAAUCCUUUCGGCCGAAUAUCUAAGGUUUCCAGAGUAAAGCUGAUCUGCUCUGGGUAAGUCGGGGCCUAAGCACAGGUCGCAAGACGUAAGCGAUGGAUAACAGGUUUAGAUUCCUGUACCACGCAUUAUCAGAACUGUAGGGACGCAUGUGGAAAGCACGGGCCGGGAAUGGAAAGACCGGUACAAGCGGGGUAGGUGUACAAUAGGCAAAUCCGUUGUAUAAUCCGAAGACGUGAUGUGGAGCGAAAUAAAGUAGUGAAGCGUGUGAGCCAUGUGCCGAGAAAAGCUGCUAUUGUGUAAUGCGUGCCCGUACCGUAAACCGACACAGGUGGAUGAGGAGAGAAUCCUAAGGCCGACGGAAGAAGCAUUGUUAAGGAACUCGGCAAAAUGACCCCGUAACUUCGGGAGAAGGGGUGCCUCGAAGGAGGCCGCAGAGAAUUGGCCCAAGCAACUGUUUAGCAAAAACACAGGUCUAUGCAAAACCGAAAGGUGAGGUAUAUGGGCUGACGCCUGCCCGGUGCUGGAAGGUUAAGGGGAGAGGUUAGCGCAAGCGAAGCUUUGAACUUAAGCCCCAGUAAACGGCGGCCGUAACUAUAACGGUCCUAAGGUAGCGAAAUUCCUUGUCGGGUAAGUUCCGACCCGCACGAAAGGCGUAAUGAUUUGGGCACUGUCUCAACAAUGCACCCGGUGAAAUUGAAAUACCAGUGAAGAUGCUGGUUACCUGCGCCAGGACGGAAAGACCCCAUGGAGCUUUACUCCAGCUUGAUACUGGGAUUCGGUAUUGCAUGUACAGGAUAGGUGGGAGGCUAGGAAAUGGUAACGCCAGUUGCCAUGGAGCCGCUGUUGGGAUACCACCCUUGCAGUACUGGGUUUCUAACCAGCAGCCGUGAUCCGGCUGGGGGACAAUGUCAGGUGGGGAGUUUGACUGGGGCGGUCGCCUCCGAAAGGGUAUCGGAGGCGCUCAAAGGU
Molecule: ribosomal RNA, 1205 nt
Filed under: human gut metagenome
Description: bacterial LSU rRNA
Rfam family: Bacterial large subunit ribosomal RNA
Source: RNAcentral